UGGGUCUAGCCACCCAGCAAGUCUCCCCACCUCCAGGCUGGUACUGGGGGUUGUCUGCACAGAGUCCUGUGAUGUGAACUGUCUAUGGGUCUCUCAGCCACGGAUACCAGCACCUGUUCUGGUGGAGGUUGCAGGGGGGUGAAAUGGACUCUGUGAGGGUUCUUAGCUUUUUGGUGGUUAAUGUUCUAUUUUUGUGCUGGUUGGCCUCCUGCCAGGAAGUGGCACUUUCCAGAGAGCAUCAGCUGUGGUAGUAUGGAGAGAAACAGGUGGUGGGCGGGGCCCUAGAACUCCCAAGAGUAUACGCCCUUUGUCUUCAGCUGCCAGAGUGAAUAGGGAAGGCCCAUCAGGUAGGGGCAGGACUAGGCGUGUCUGAGCUCAGACUCUCCUUCGAUGGGUCUUGCUGUGGCUGCUGUGGGAGAUGAGGGUGAGGUUCCCAGGUCAAUGGAGUUGUGUACCUAGAAAGAUUAUGGCUGCCUCUGCUGAGUCAUGCAGGUUGUCAGGGAAGUGGGGGAAAGCCGACAGUCACAGGCCUCACUCAGCUCCCACACAAUUCAGAGGGCCGGUCUCCCUCUCACUGUGACCCGCUAACAACCCUGAGGCUGUUUCCAGGCAGUGGGCCGAGCAGGGCUUGAGAACUUGCCCCAGGCUACCUGCCUCCCAGCUGUGAAAGAACACAGCUUUUGUUCUUCCCCUGCCUGUGGAGUCUGCACACCAGAUUUGCACCCUCCCCUGAUUUCCGGCCAGGAAGCUUCUUUCUGGGUUCAAAUUUUUUCAAAUUUCAGCUGGAGACUUCCUUCUUCCUGUGGUGUUUUCCCCCAUACCUCUGGCUGCCCUCCCGAAGGAUCCCUGUCAUGCCAGGCAGGAAUAGCCUGCUUGGGGACCCAGCGAGCUCCUGGGGCCUUUCCCGCUGCUUCCUCUACCCCUGUAUUUUGCUGGGCUCUCUAAAUUGGCUCAGCUCCAGGCAUAUCCACAGCUCUUCAAAUAAGCAAUGUGAUGUUAGCAAAAGUGCAGGGGCUCCUUGAGAACUUUCCAGGGCUAACCAGCUGCUGAGGAGUGGCCUCCAGGAAAGAGAGAAGCACUCUGAUUCAGGCAGUGAUUUACACCUAAAAUACCAACUCUGUCAUAUCUUCAGAACAAUUCUUCUAGACCUUGCAUCUAAAUAUGGAGUCGUUAACUAUCAACGAACAAAACCUCUGGAUGGCCGAAGGACCUAGGCUAUACAGAAAGCUGUGAAUUACCAAUGAGAACGCAGAUUAGAUCAAAGAUGUCCCUAAGAAGCAUUGAGAUGUCACAAAGUUCUAGGAGGGGCAUGAUAAAGUAAGCAGAACACCGCAGUGGGCAUCAGAAUGCAUUCCAUUUCCAGACCUAUCUCUUACCAUCUGGAUAUCUCACUCUCAGGAAGAUCAAGUGACAAACCUGGAUUAGUCCAUUUUCACACUGCUACAAGGAACUACCUGAGACUGGGUAGUUUAUGAAGAAAAGAGGUUUAAUUGAUUCAUAGUUCUGCAGCCUUAACAGGAAGCAUGACUUAGGGGUCUCAGGAAACUUAUACAAUCAUAGCAGAAAGUGAAGGGGAAGCAAGGUAUGUCUUCUCGUGGUAGCAGGGGAGAGAGAGAGCAAAGGGGGAACUGGCACACAGUUUUAACCAUCAUAUCUGGUGAGAACUCAUUCACUAUCACAAAAACAGCAUAGGGCAAACCACCCUCAUGAUCUAGUUACCUCCUACCAGGUCCCUUCCCUGACAUGUGGGGAUUACGAUUUGACGUGAGAUUUUGGUAGGGACACAGCCAAACCAGAUUAAAACCCAGACUCUCAAUCUCCAUCUCUGACUUCCUCCAUCUGCUGCUUCCUCCUUCUUCUUUCCAUCCCGUAGCUAUGAGAAAUCAGGUGGGUGCUCUUCUAUUCAUCUCAUGAACUACUGGACAUGUUUACAUUUGGGGAACUUAAAAAUGAACCAGAUAGCUGUUGGCUGUUGUCUUUUUGUGAAGAAUAAUUUUAGGGAUCAAAAGACAAAAAGAAAAACAUUCUUUGUAUCAGAGAAUAGCAUUAUGAUCUCCACACAUAGUGCCAGCUCUUUUAACUUUUAAGGUCAAAUUUCCUAGUUUUCCAAAUGUCCACUGAUUCCCUUUAAACAAAACCCUGUCUGGGCAAAAUAAAACAUGUCCAUGAACUCAAUUUAGAUAAAGCUGAUUUGGCCUAUGAGCCAUGAAUUUAAAUAAAUCUUAAAUAAUGG
Long non-coding RNA from Pan troglodytes (chimpanzee), 2233 nucleotides. RefSeq lists it as uncharacterized. The record is from RefSeq and is a predicted model, not a curated record. NCBI's taxonomy places the organism in Eukaryota, Metazoa, Chordata, Mammalia, Primates, Hominidae. The transcript has 5 exons.